AUUUUUCUUGCCAAUUCCUCCCAUUCCAAUGGUUUCAUGAGGUUACUCCUUUUCCUAUCAUAUCCUUGUAACCCAACACCCCCAUAACGUGUUCGACAGAGAGAGAGGGAAAGGGAGAUAGAUCUAGAUGAAGUUGUUUGGAUGGGUGAUUUGGAAAGAAAAGU
This 164-nucleotide microRNA precursor is filed under the name Panax ginseng (ginseng). RNAcentral describes it as "miR482b stem-loop (pgi-MIR482b)". Its record names the gene pgi-MIR482b. The record is from miRBase by way of RNAcentral. Lineage: Eukaryota; Viridiplantae; Streptophyta; Magnoliopsida; Apiales; Araliaceae.